Molecule: long non-coding RNA, 2343 nt
Organism: Cavia porcellus (domestic guinea pig)
Lineage: Eukaryota; Metazoa; Chordata; Mammalia; Rodentia; Caviidae
Exons: 2
Source: RefSeq, a predicted model, not a curated record
CCCCUUUUUGUUUCUUCCCGAGUCUCCCCUGUCCCUUGGGUGUACUUAUUGGCUGGAAGGCAGCUUGGCAUGAGCGUCUUUUCUCAUUCCUAAUUAACAGCAGAGUCUUUGCUUCUUCGCCUCCCAAAUGAGAAUUCAGAAAACUUAACUGCUGUGAGAUGCACAGGGUUGUCCAGGGGACCAGUCCCAAUAGAAGAAAAAAGAGGCUGGGCCUGUCCCAUCUCCAGUGCCAGCUGUCAGUGGCAGCUGAGGCCUUGUGGGGUGAGUAUCUUCUGGAGGUAGCAAAGGCCUUUCCAGAGAGGAGCCAGGCAGCCAAAGGUAAGCACUGGGAGGGUUCCAUUUCUGCCUUGGGAAAUCCUGGGAAGUUGGAAAUUGGCACCUGCUCCCAGGGGUUGGCCUUUGUCCCUGGUGUCCCAGUGUGCAUGCCUAAAUUCACUGUAUAAGAGCUCAGGAUCCUUUCCCAGUGAGCCAAGACAUGUCGCCAGUCCUGCAGAGAGGAGGAGGGAUCAGGACAGAAUACAGCAGGUUCCCCACUCUAGGCACCAUGAAUAGCUGACUCUUGAAGACAGCUGGGUCAUUGCUCUGUGUCAGAUCCUGGUACCCAGCAGGGAAAUUCAUUUGGGCAGGUUGUGGGGGUGGGUAGAUCAUUGGGUAAAGGCUCAAAAUGGUCAACACGAAGAACACAGAAUACACGUACUUGCUGUGUAGCAUAAACAGCCUUUGGGAAGGCAAGAGGAAAAAAAAGAGAAGGCCAGGGAAAAAGAAUGUCAUUCAUCAUGUCUGUUCUUGAUCCUCCAUUGUUUCCAGCUGAAGGACUACCCCUGUCCUCCAGCUCGCCAGUAGCUUUUGGGCUUUCCCCAAUCCCAGGGAGCUCUCUGUAAACAGUUCAAGCCUCAGGAGGUCUCUCACUGGCACCAUGCUGGGAAAAGGGUAAUGGCCAAUAGCCAGUGCCUCCAAGACCCCAAGCAACCAUCUCAACAUCUCUGCAGGGUAUACCCAGGUACUUCUGUAGGUGUGUCUCCCCAUCUAGUUUCUACCAGGAUUAGUGCAAAUCCCAUGACGUAUCUAGGCAAAGUGAUCACCCAAGCAGUGGGCCUUGACUCCUCCCUACAACACUGGCUGUUCCUUGAGGCACACAGCCCUUUCCUUUCUGUUCCAUGAGCACAUAUCACCAGCCUUCUCCCAGAUCACAAUCUAUGCUCCACACUGCCUUGUAACCCUGGAAACUUCAGACUGAUGGAAACCAAAGAGGGGAAGAGUGGGCCCUGGAGGACCAUGGAUUGGCUGGUUUACGUCCUUCAGGGGACUUCCUCCCCCACCCAAAGCCUCCCACACCCACACUCACUCCACCUCCCGCUUCCGGAUGGCACGGCCAGAGGCCAGCACCUCAGCCACCUUGGAUACGAUGGGAUCGUAGUUCAUGCUAGCCACAGCAAUCACCUCGUCGCCUCUGCGGAGAUAGAGUACCUAUGCCUAAAGACUGCCCAUUGACAUUCUUUCUUGAAGACCCUGACACACUCCUGUCCACCUAGGCCCAGGGUAAUAUCUUGCCCUGGGAAACAGAAAUACCCUGAGCAUUCAGUCCUCUGUUUGUCCCAACGCACAACUCCAGCUCUCAGCAGAGUUUGGGCUGGGCCUGAGCUGGCAAUCUCUCCAGAUGUGACUUUCCUCACUGUAAAAGCAGGGCAUCAACAUCCACCUCAAAGAACGGUUCAGAAUACGCACUGACUCUCCCACAACCCUGCGAUGGCAGACAGUUAUUACUGCCACCUGCUUACCUUCCCUCCUGCCCAGCUGCCUCCCUUUGCCCUUGGCCCACUGUUUUGGUAAUGUCUUCUCCUCAGGAGCAGAGCUUUUCUGGAAUGAUUCUCCCUUCACCACUGAGGUCCAGCUGUCCCCCUCCCCCGCAACCUGAACCCCACCAUUCUCACUUGGUAUAAAAAGCCACAAAUUUCAGCUCCUCCAGGUCGCCUUGGAUGAUGACAUCGUCAAAGCCUUCUCCAUAGCCUGUGGGCAGGACAGGUGGGUGGUGCCCAAAUGAGAUGUGUUAGGGCUGGAGGCUUCACAGGCUCCCCACCCUGUGCCUAACUUCUUUCUGGUCAAGCUCCCUGGUUCCUUAUUUCUUAUUUUAGGUUAUCCAUACAAAAAUGAGUUCUUGAGCCAGGCGUGGUGGCUCAGGCCUGUAAUCCCAGCACUCGGAAGGCUGAGGUGGGAGGAUCGUUUCGAAUUCAAGACCAGCCUGGGCUACAAAGUGAGCUCAAGGCCAGCCUGAACUGCAUAGCGAGACCCUGUCUCAAAAAAAAAAAAAAAAAAAAAAAAAAAAGAAAAGAAAAAAAGAAAGAG